CAGUGCACGUUGGACAAGAACGCAGGAAGGUGGGAGCGGCGGUGCUCUCUCGGCGUCUCUCCCCUACGGCCACUGCUAGGCGCCACACAGGGUCGCGUCAGAAUUCUUCGCUCACUCGGAUUCUUCAGCCUCUGAGGAGGUUGUCUGUGCGUGCGGCCGGUGUGGCAGUGUGGCAUCGAAGACGAGGCCAAGACCUGCGUCGGGACAACAUGGUAUCGACUGGACGCCACAACAAACACCACCACCCUAACCAUGCCGCAUGCUGCCAUUCCACCAUUCCUUAUGCUGUCUUAAUCCAGCGUGCCUUACCUGGACGGCUGGAUGGCUGGUUUCCUCCCCCAUGACUGCAGCACAUGCAGUUGCCACACAGUUUCGCACCGUCACGCGUACCCUCUGCACAUGCUGGAGGAGGCACCUCAACUGAUGCAUCGCUGAUAACACGCACCCCAAUAUCACAGCUGAUGCACGUGACAACGCACCCAACUUAUUUGUUUUAUCUCCAUAAUAAGCGUUAUCUGGUUUUCCUUUAGAUGUUAUUGUGUAAUUAACUUAGGUACUACUCGAACAUCUUAUAUUAUAAUGUCCGACAAAUUCAACAGUAAAAGUUAGGAAUUAAUAACAAAAAAGUAAAACAUGCUGUUAUAGUUUUCAGUGGCAAAAAUAUAGCUUGUGGAAUGUAUUAUAUCGUAAAUACCGCUCGAAAAAAUAAUCAUCGAAACGUGAACUGAACUAAAGACAUGCAAGGUUUAAUAGGGCAAAACGGCUGGCUAGUGGGCAGUGAUUACUUCACUGUGAAUGCUGGACAAGUAUUGAUUCAACCGAAUCGAGAUAAUCCACAGGAGAUUUCCUUGUCCAUAAGUGCAUGUUGGUCAUCUGGGGGAAGGGAGAGGGUGCAUAACUGGCAUUUACAGAGGGACUGAUUUUUUUUUUUAUUGAAGGAAAAAUCUUUUAGCGGCGUCCUAAGCUCGUGAUGAUAAUAAUUAUAAUGAUAAUAUUGAUAGUAAUAAUAAUAAUAAUAAUAAUAAUAAUAAUAAUAAUAAUAAAAUCUACUGGAUUCUUCCUCUCUCCCUGUCUGUUUAAUGCAUGCUGUCGGUUGAUCUCAGCAUUACUGUUUAUAAAGUCACUCUGCACACUGUACAACCAGCACUUGCUAAGCACUUGAGCCAGCACUGCCCCUAUCACAACAAAAGCUUUCUCAUGCUUACCAAGAGUAAAAGACCAAUUCUGAUUAUAAAGAGGACCACUAUUUUGUUUGCAUAAAUACGUACUACUAUAAUAUAUGAAUAACAAAC
Molecule: long non-coding RNA, 1292 nt
Organism: Portunus trituberculatus (swimming crab)
Lineage: Eukaryota; Metazoa; Arthropoda; Malacostraca; Decapoda; Portunidae
Exons: 2
Source: RefSeq, a predicted model, not a curated record